GGAACAGAACAACUCCAAGUCCGAGAUGAUGCCAGCAGGAGUCAUGAGCUUCCUUCCCAUCAGCUCCUCAGCCUGCCCUCCCCACCCCACCUCCUCGCUCCCCACCCUUCGCAGCCCCCAAAAGUUUCACCGCGGUGCCUCAUUCUCAAGUUCCACCUGAGAUGCAUCGUGUGGCGGAAUGAAUGACGCUGGUGGGGGAAAAAAAAGUCCGCCUUGCUUCCACUUGGUCCUGAAAGAAACACUUUUUCUUGGAAACAAAUGUCAUUGAUUUCACAGGAACUUCCUUGAGAGUACAAUUCCGUAAUCCAAUCCAUGCAGAAUCAUUGUCAUGAAACCGUUUUGAGAGGCUCGCCUCUGGAAAACCUGUUGCAAGCAGCGCCCGCCACCUUGUGGGAAGUGAGAAACGUGCAUGGCUGAAUAUUGAGAAAAGGGUUCAGUUUCCUCUUGUUUAUGGGGACUUUUAAAUUAAUAAUCCCUAAGUAAAGGCUUUUAACUUGUAUAACUGCUGGCCACUGUGGUGUACUCGUGGAUGGGGUGGGGGGGGAGCUUGCCCCUAUAUUAUUGAAAUAUUAUUGUACUCCAUAUCAGAAAGAGAGUCACGAUAUUCCCUGGAAUGUUGAAGAUCACAUCAAUCCCAGAUUGCCUUUCCAGACAUUCUUCUGGAGUUUCACAUGGUUAUGAUCGGAGGAAACAGUGGACUCAAGCCAAAGGAGAAUGAAAUCAUAUCCAAGCCCUGGCAUUAGUCCAUCAAUAAUCAAGUAAGUGGGCAAAACGACUCUCCAAAGGGUCAGGCUUAGCACAGCAGGCUAAACUGCUAGCUGAAGAAAAAUCAUGCCAAUCAAAAGGUCAGCAGUUCGAGCCCAGGUCGGGGUGAGCACCUGCCAUUAGCCUCAGCUCCCUUUCCACCUACCAGAUUGAAAGCAGAAAUGUGAGUAGAUAAAUUGGUACUGCUUUUAGCAGGUAGGUAAUAUAAGCGCCCUUAAGGAUAUCGAUCAGGAGGAUGUCUAAGGAUGACAAAGCUCUGCAGAAUGGAAUAUGAAGCGACAGCGCGCGCACACACGCACACACACCUGUGAUCAGAGUCGAGCACACCCUCCAAGACACCAGAAAUAAGAUGGGGAAAUGCCUUCACAUCUGUCUGUGUAUUGUCUGUGCUUGUUAACUCUCUAGUGGAACUCUCUACCCCGGACUGUGAUGGAGGCUCCUUCUUUGGAGGCUUUUAAGCAGAGGCUGGAUGGCCAUCUGUCGGGGGUGCUUUGAAUGAGAUUUUCCUGCUUCUUGGCAGGGGUUGGACUGGAUGGCCCAUGAGGUCUCUUCCAAUUCUACUAUUCUAUUAUUCUAAUUGUAUAAUGGCAUUGAAUGCUGGUCGUAUGUGUGUUCUGUAAUCCGCCCUAAAUCCUCUCGGGGAGAUAAAGCAGAAUAUAAAUAAAGUAUUUUAAAAUUUA
Anolis carolinensis (green anole) is the source of this 1445-nucleotide long non-coding RNA. RefSeq lists it as uncharacterized. The transcript has 2 exons. The record is from RefSeq and is a predicted model, not a curated record. Lineage: Eukaryota; Metazoa; Chordata; Lepidosauria; Squamata; Anolidae.